This 504-nucleotide ribosomal RNA is filed under the name uncultured bacterium. Its description in RNAcentral is "partial 16S ribosomal RNA". It matches the Rfam family "Bacterial small subunit ribosomal RNA", at positions 29 to 523 of the family's 1533-position model. The record is from RNAcentral.
AUUGAACGCUGGCGGCAGGCCUAACACAUGCAAGUCGAACGGUAGCACAGAGAGCUUGCUCUCGGGUGACGAGUAGCGGACGGGUGAGUAACGUCUGGGAAACUGCCCGAUGGAGGGGGAUAACUACUGGAAACGGUAGCUAAUACCGCAUAACGUCGCAAGACCAAAGUGGGGGACCUUCGGGCCUCACACCAUCGGAUGUGCCCAGAUGGGAUUAGCCAGUAGGUGGGGUAAUGGCUCACCAAGGCGACGAUCCCUAGCUGGUCUGAGAGGAUGGGCAGCGAGACUGGAACUAAGACAGAGUCCAGACUCCUACGGGAGGCAGCAGUGGGGAAUAUUGCAAAAUGGGCGCAAGCCUGAUGCGGCCAUGCCGCGUGUAUGAAGAAGGCCUUCGGGUUGUAAAGUACUUUCAGCGGGGAGGAAGGCGGUGAAGUUAAUAGCUUAACCGAUUGACGUUACCCGCAGAAGAAGCACCGGCUAACUCCGUGCCAGCAGCCGCAGUAA